Pezoporus flaviventris is the source of this 442-nucleotide long non-coding RNA. RefSeq lists it as uncharacterized. NCBI's taxonomy places the organism in Eukaryota, Metazoa, Chordata, Aves, Psittaciformes, Psittacidae. The record is from RefSeq and is a predicted model, not a curated record. The transcript has 4 exons.
GCUGUAGGGUGCUGCACUCCAGCCCUUAUGGUUUUCUGCUUUUGCACUGGGCAAGACCUUCCCUGGGAGAAAUGUUGUACCUCUCCAAUGCUUUGGAAAUAAAAUGUAAGCUGAAGAAAGGGGAAGAAAAUAAACAACAAAGCUUGUUGGCCAGGCUCCUAUGAUGGGUGCUGCUUUCUUGGGUCUGGGAUGGAAGAGCAUCUGGAGGUACAGUAAAACACAGCAAGAGAUGCUAUGGAAGCAGAGGAAAUGAAACUAUUGAAUCAAGAACUUUAGGAUAUAAAUAAAAUGUGCGCACUAUUAAUUCAACUGGUUUCCAAAUGAACAAUCUAAUCUCUUGUCUGUGUAAUUUCAUUAUCGGCAAUUUGAAAGGACCCAAAUGCUUUUCCUCUAAGGUUUUAACAGCAGAUGUGGACCAGACUAAGUGUGCUGAUUGAAAGAG